RNAcentral lists this ribosomal RNA (496 nucleotides) under uncultured bacterium. RNAcentral's name for it is "partial 16S ribosomal RNA". It matches the Rfam family "Bacterial small subunit ribosomal RNA", at positions 30 to 523 of the family's 1533-position model. The record is from RNAcentral.
AUUGAACGCUGGCGGAAUGCUUUACACAUGCAAGUCGAACGGUAGAGGGGGCAACCCCUCGAGAGUGGCGAACGGGUGAGUAAUAUAUCGGAACGUGCCCAGUCGUGGGGGAUAACGUAGCGAAAGUUACGCUAAUACCGCAUACGAUCUAAGGAUGAAAGCGGGGGAUCGCAAGACCUCGCGCGAUUGGAGCGGCCGAUAUCAGAUUAGGUAGUUGGUGGGGUAAAGGCUCACCAGGCCAACGAUCUGUAGCUGGUCUGAGAGGACGACCAGCCACACUGGAACGGAGACACGGUCCAGACUCCUACGGGAGGCAGCAGUGGGGAAUUUUGGACAAUGGACGCAAGUCUGAUCCAGCCAUUCCGCGUGCAGGAUGAAGGCCCUCGGGUUGUAAACUGCUUUUGUACGGAACGAAAAGGUCUCUCUUAAUACGGGGGACUCAUGACGGUACCGUAAGAAUAAGCACCGGCUAACUACGUGCCAGCCGCCGCAGUAA